RNAcentral lists this ribosomal RNA (148 nucleotides) under Tinca tinca (tench). The record is from RNAcentral. Lineage: Eukaryota; Metazoa; Chordata; Actinopteri; Cypriniformes; Tincidae.
GAUCCACAGGACGGGGCCCCCCGCCUCGACGCGCGCGUCGACCGGACGGACUGUCCCCAGUCCGCCUCCGAAUGCGCCGCGCGCCCAGGGCGGGGACCGGCCCACGUACAAAGGGCGCUCGAGGUCCGCGGUGAGGUCGGCCACCCAC